UACGUAGGAGGCAAGCGUUGUCCGGAAUUACUGGGCGUAAAGCGCGUGUAGGUGGUGGGACAAGUCUGCUGUGAAAGCCCCCGGCUCAACCGGGGAGAGUCGUCGUGGACUGUCGAGCUUGAGGGCGGUAGGGGUUGGUGGAAUUCCCGGUGUAGUGGUGAAAUGCGUAGAGAUCGGGAGGAACACCCGUGGCGAAGGCGGCCAACUGGGCCGACCCCUGGACGCUGAGGCGCGAAGGCGUGGGGAGCGAACGGG
Molecule: ribosomal RNA, 255 nt
Filed under: uncultured bacterium
Lineage: Bacteria
Description: partial 16S ribosomal RNA
Rfam family: Bacterial small subunit ribosomal RNA
Source: RNAcentral